Molecule: ribosomal RNA, 465 nt
Filed under: uncultured bacterium
Lineage: Bacteria
Description: partial 16S ribosomal RNA
Rfam family: Bacterial small subunit ribosomal RNA
Source: RNAcentral
GACGAACGCUGGCGGCGUGCUUAACACAUGCAAGUCGAACGGAAAGGCCCCUUUGGGGGUCCUCGAGUGGCGAACGGGUGAGUAACACGUGAGUAACCUGCCCUUGACUUCGGGAUAACUUCAGGAAACUGGGGCUAAUACCGGAUAGGAAUCCUUGCUGCAUGGUGGGGGUUGGAAAGCUUCGGCGGUUUUGGAUGGACUCGCGGCUUAUCAGCUUGUUGGUGGGGUAGUGGCUUACCAAGGCUUUGACGGGUAGCCGGCCUGAGAGGGCGACCGGCCACAUUGGGACUGAGAUACGGCCCAGACUCCUACGGGAGGCAGCAGUGGGGAAUAUUGCAUAAUGGGCGGAAGCCUGAUGCAGCAACGCCGCGUGCGGGAUGACGGCCUUCGGGUUGUAAACCGCUUUCAGCAGGGGCGAAGCUUGUGGUGACGGUACCUGCAGAAGAAGCACCGGCUAACUACGUG